Molecule: RNA transcript, 749 nt
Organism: Stomoxys calcitrans (stable fly)
Lineage: Eukaryota; Metazoa; Arthropoda; Insecta; Diptera; Muscidae
Exons: 4
Source: RefSeq, a predicted model, not a curated record
UCGGUUAGUAAGUGUAUAACAAAUUUAAUUCAUUUUAUUGUGAUUUUUGCAAAUUGUGAACAUUAGAAUUGGUCUAUUUUGAAAAAGACAUUGGUUUGUCCAAACAUUAUGUUGUACCAUGUGAGUUUUCCAAGUAAAAUACAUACAAUGCAAUAACCCCAAGAAAAAUGAAAACUUCCUAUUGGAACCUGAUUAUCAAAUUUGUGAUCAUCAAGAACGUGGUAUCAAAGAGAGAAAAAUUCUACAUCAAAUUUCACUAUGGGUCAUUGAAGAAAAGAAAGCUGGCAACAUAACAUAUAUCAACAAAAUAUUGCCACCAAUUUGGAAAAAUAAACCCCAGACUAUCUAAAAAUUUGUUGCUGAAAUUUAUUCCUUGUUUUCUUGAAUAGAUGACUAAAAGUACCAUGAAUCUUAAGUUUAGACGAAUGUUGUCAAUGAAAGAAAUAUUCUACAUCCAAUUUCACUAUGAGUCUCAAAAUAAACUUUAUAUAAGCCCAGUGUCAAUGAAGAAAAUAAUCUACAUGAAAUUUCACUAUGAGUCACCAAAGAGAAGAAUUGUGUCAGCUUAAUGUACAUCAAUAAAAUAUUACCAUCAAUAUGGUAUAUAUCUAAAAGGAGACAAUAUUGAAAACUUCCAUAUGAUGAUGAAGACUGUUAGCCUGCUACUGAUUUACAACGGAAGUAUUGCAACUUUUUUCUUUACUUUUUUUUUAAAGUCCAUUAAACUUUUUCGUAUUAAGUUUCAAUAU